CAAUGCUCAUAUCUUGAAGCGCAAGCCCUCUAGGAUCAACGCCAUCAUCAUGGGCUUUAGAUUUAGAGGCGUACAGAACAUUUACAAAUACAAUGUGGUCGCAAGCCAAGUAUACCAACUAUGUGGUCACAAUCCUUGCCCAAAUUGGGGCACUCCAUAAUGCAUCAGAGUUCCUCUCUGGUACUCCUUGGAAAACGAUAUUCUUGCAUCCCAACUCCUUAUUAUACCUACUAUGGAUUCCCCUUGAACUCCAUUAGCUAUGAUGCGUCCAUCCUUAAAUACGUGGCACACAUGGG
This is a non-coding RNA of Pelobates cultripes (western spadefoot toad), 296 nucleotides long. Lineage: Eukaryota; Metazoa; Chordata; Amphibia; Anura; Pelobatidae. The record is from the annotation of a GenBank genome assembly.